UUCCUGCAGGUAUGGGUAUACAGUGUUACAAGUGUGACUUCACACUUUAUGGUUUUCCUUGCUUCACUAGUAAAGUGACAUGUCCGAGUGGUAACAGCUGUGGAAAAUCUGUUUUCUCACUUGCAGGUACACCUGUGUCACAAACCAAAGACUGCAUUGAUAAUACACAAUGCAAUGCUACCACUACUUCAACUGUUGCAGGCAUAACUUACAACAGAACUACUAUCUGCUGCAAUAAUGAGGACUUAUGCAAUGCAGGUAGCACAACAAAAGUCUCCAUUUUCGCUGUGCUUCUUACACUGGUAUUCUGGAUUCAGAGACUUCUGUAAAGGUCUAAAAAGAGGACACUGCACUAGUUACCCUAGUCACAACAACACCACUUCUUUAUUCAGAUGGAAAUAUAUAAUGUAUCAUGUUUAUAAUCAUUACCAAAAUAAAUGACAGAUGUUUAAUUGUGUCAAAUGAUAAAGACAAAAUGAUUGUGAUCUUUUUCUAUGAUGAGUGUGCCAUGAUGACUUCUAGAGAGUACUAUUACUGUGUGUUGUUGCAUGCAGCAGCUAAUGUAUUAACAUACUAUGCAUUUCUUCCACAAAGUUAAUAGGACUUCAACAUCAGCGGAUGUUUUAGCUAAUCCUAUUUUGUCAUCUAAACUUCAUUCUUGUUCUAUUUUCUGAUUAGAGAUGAAUUAAAAUUAAAGCUUAAAACAUA
This is a long non-coding RNA of Protopterus annectens (West African lungfish), 708 nucleotides long. RefSeq lists it as uncharacterized. The record is from RefSeq and is a predicted model, not a curated record. NCBI's taxonomy places the organism in Eukaryota, Metazoa, Chordata, Ceratodontiformes, Protopteridae. The transcript has 2 exons.